Molecule: microRNA precursor, 89 nt
Filed under: Marmota monax (woodchuck)
Lineage: Eukaryota; Metazoa; Chordata; Mammalia; Rodentia; Sciuridae
Source: RNAcentral
UUGAGCGCUCAGGAAGCAGAGCCUGAGGGCAUUGUUACCAUGGCCUGGGCUCUUGUUCUCUUCACAUUCCUUAUUCACUGCACAGGUGG